This 494-nucleotide ribosomal RNA is filed under the name uncultured delta proteobacterium. RNAcentral's name for it is "bacterial SSU rRNA". It matches the Rfam family "Bacterial small subunit ribosomal RNA", at positions 49 to 523 of the family's 1533-position model. The record is from RNAcentral. Lineage: Bacteria; Deltaproteobacteria.
UAACACAUGCAAGUCGCACGAGAAUUGGUCUUCGGACCAUAGUGAAAGUGGCGGACGGGGUGAGUAACACGUGAUAAUCUGCCUUCGGCGGGGACACAGUCGAAGGAUUGCUAAUACCGCAUACGUCAGCGAGGUCUUCGGAUCUUGUUGGGAAAGAUGGCCUCUUCAUGAAAGCUAUCACCGAAGGAUGAGUCCGCGGCCCAUCAGCUAGUUGGCGGUGUAAUAGACCACCAAGGCUAAGACGGGUAGCUGGUCUGAGAGGAUGAUCAGCCACACUGGAACUGAGACACGGUCCAGACUCCUACGGGAGGCAGCAGUGGGGAAUAUUGGGCAAUGGGCGCAAGCCUGACCCAGCCAUGCCGCGUGAGUGAUGAAGGCCUUCGGGUCGUAAAGCUCUGUGGGGAGGGAAGAAACUCCGUAUGGCUAACAUCCAUGCGGUUUGACGGUACCUCCUUAGCAAGCACCGGCUAACUCCGUGCCAGCAGCCGCGGUAA